This 480-nucleotide ribosomal RNA is filed under the name Streptomyces sp. B350. RNAcentral's name for it is "bacterial SSU rRNA". It matches the Rfam family "Bacterial small subunit ribosomal RNA", at positions 163 to 657 of the family's 1533-position model. Lineage: Bacteria; Bacillati; Actinomycetota; Actinomycetes; Kitasatosporales; Streptomycetaceae. The record is from RNAcentral. RNAcentral also lists the same sequence under 1 other name.
CUAAUACCGGAUAAUACUUUCUCUCUCCUGGGGGAAGGUUGAAAGCUCCGGCGGUGAAGGAUGAGCCCGCGGCCUAUCAGCUAGUUGGUGGGGUAAUGGCCUACCAAGGCGACGACGGGUAGCCGGCCUGAGAGGGCGACCGGCCACACUGGGACUGAGACACGGCCCAKACUCCUACGGGAGGCAGCAGUGGGGAAUAUUGCACAAUGGGCGAAAGCCUGAUGCAGCGACGCCGCGUGAGGGAUGACGGCCUUCGGGUUGUAAACCUCUUUCAGCAGGGAAGAAGCGAAAGUGACGGUACCUGCAGAAGAAGCGCCGGCUAACUACGUGCCAGCAGCCGCGGUAAUACGUAGGGCGCAAGCGUUGUCCGGAAUUAUUGGGCGUAAAGAGCUCGUAGGCGGCUUGUUGCGUCGGUUGUGAAAGCCCGGGGCUUAACCCCGGGUCUGCAGUCGAUACGGGCAGGCUAGAGUGUGGUAGGGG